This 448-nucleotide long non-coding RNA is filed under the name Mytilus galloprovincialis (Mediterranean mussel). Lineage: Eukaryota; Metazoa; Mollusca; Bivalvia; Mytilida; Mytilidae. The record is from RNAcentral.
CUUUAUUCUGAUUGGCUAACUGCACAUCACGUGUUAUUCCGUAAGCAAUUGUAUUGCUCAAUAAAACUUUUCAUUCAUGAUAACACGUGGUCCCACAAUAAAUUGUACAGGUGAAUUAAAUAAAACAAUAAUAAAAUUCGUGUUUUCAUGAUAAUUGCUAAAAAAAUGUAAUUAUAAGUAUUGAAUGCUUCUUUUUGUAACUUCAUAGGGUUGUAAAAGCGUUGACCGUGUGCACAUUUUUAUGUACUUCGGUCAACGCUUUUACACCCCAAUGAAGUUACAAAAAGAAGCAUUCAAUUCUUAAGUGUUACUCCUCCAAAACCAUACAAAGUCGGAUAUAUUUGUGAUAUGACGUAUACAUGUAGUGUUUUGUACUUCCUUUAUUUGUCUUUGAAACAAUCUUUUUUUCCUCAGAAAAAGCCAAAAUAUCCAAAUUCGGAGACUGCAU